CCUACGGGAGGCUGCAGUGGGGAAUAUUGCACAAUGGGCGCAAGCCUGAUGCAGCCAUGCCGCGUGUGUGAAGAAGGCCUUCGGGUUGUAAAGCACUUUCAGCGGGGAGGAAGGCGGUGAGGUUAAUAACCUCAUCGAUUGACGUUACCCGCAGAAGAAGCACCGGCUAACUCCGUGCCAGCAGCCGCGGUAAUACGGAGGGUGCAAGCGUUAAUCGGAAUUACUGGGCGUAGAGCGCACGCAGGCGGUCUGUCAAGUCGGAUGUGAAAUCCCCGGGCUCAACCUGGGAACUGCAUUCGAAACUGGCAGGCUAGAGUCUUGUAGAGGGGGGUAGAAUUCCAGGUGUAGCGGUGAAAUGCGUAGAGAUCUGGAGGAAUACCGGUGGCGAAGGCGGCCCCCUGGACAAAGACUGACGCUCAGGUGCGAAAGCGUGGGGAGCAAACAGGAUUAGAUACCCGUGUAGUC
This 465-nucleotide ribosomal RNA is filed under the name uncultured Klebsiella sp. Its description in RNAcentral is "bacterial SSU rRNA". It matches the Rfam family "Bacterial small subunit ribosomal RNA", at positions 338 to 795 of the family's 1533-position model. The record is from RNAcentral. Lineage: Bacteria; Pseudomonadati; Pseudomonadota; Gammaproteobacteria; Enterobacterales; Enterobacteriaceae.